GAAAGCUUGCAAAAACAGAGGGUGAUAUGAUUCCUACAGAAGUCAUCCUCACCAGCUUCAAUGGAGGAGCAACUUCAGCUAAGGGAGUUAUGCCAUUGGACAUAACUAUAGGUACGACUACUAGGACCACUGUCUUCUUUGUAAUAGAUGGUCCUACUAGUUACAACGUGCUCUUAGGAAGGGAUUGGAUACACGGAAGUCGAUGUAUACCCUCGUCGCUCCAUCAAUGCCUGAUUUUUUGGAAUGACAAAGGCGAAGCAGAAGUGGUGCAGGCCGAUCAUAGGCCUUUUGUCGCAGAAGCAAACUCAGUGGAAAAGUUUAUGUACGAAGGAAACUAUGGACCUGUCAGAGUAGUACAAGACGGGGAAGAAACUCAAGUUGUCGCACAGAGCGAAGAACCAUUCUCAGUGGACGCACUCGCUGAGAUGUUCGAACAGAUGAGGCCAAACAUAGUGGCCUUAGGAGAGCCAGUGAUUGGCAAAAGAAUAAUCAAGGAAUCUUGAAUGGAUUCUGAAUUGCAAAAGCAAAUGGCUGAUAUUCAGGCCUUCAAAGCCAGACUGAUGGUUUUUAAUAAGGAAUGCAAUGACAAAGUAAAGGAAGAGACUGCCCUAAAAGCGUUGAAGGACAAGUUGGCAGUAUUCGAGUUAGAGCAAAGCCUUGGCCGAGAAGUCAACAAAGUGGACUGUUUGGAAGAGGAAGUACUUACAAGAGAACUGGACGACGAAGUGAUGCGGAUUGCCAAACCUGGAUACGCUCAAGCACAAGACCCUCUGAUCAAAGUAAACAUUGGCAAUGAAGGAGAAGAUCACCCAACGUUCAUCAGCCAG
Molecule: long non-coding RNA, 827 nt
Filed under: Olea europaea subsp. europaea
Lineage: Eukaryota; Viridiplantae; Streptophyta; Magnoliopsida; Lamiales; Oleaceae
Source: RNAcentral